UUGUCUAUGUUAAUAUAAAAAGAGAAGAGAACCCUCGUGACACUUGAGUUUCCUCGUGGCUGCUUCUUAUGUUUUAAUUUUUGGUAAACUUUAAAUAUCACUCUGUGAUUUCGUAUUUUCUCACUUUAGUACUCAGUGGUUUAAAAUGUAUCAAGGUAGUAUCCUGUGGUUUUAUUUUUAUCUUUCGUCAGCUUUUUCGUUAAUAUUUCGUUAAAUUAUAUACAAAAAACUUCAGAUACCCCACCUAGGUUUAUCGAAUAUUCACUUUAGUGCCCUUUAGUUUAACUUUGUCACUGAUUUAACGAAAAAAAUUAGUGGAAUUGAUAAUAAAAAGAUAAAAAUAAAAUCAUAGAAUAAUAAAUUGAUAUACUUUAAAUCACAGAGUACUAAAGUGAAAAAGUGUGAAACCACAGGAGUGAUAUUUGGAGUUUUUUCUUUAAUUUUUAAAGGUUUAUGUGAUGUUUCGUCUUCAUAUGAAGCUUCUAGAAUAAAUAGACUGAAAAUAUGCCUCUUCAGUUGCCCCCUUUCAUAUUGAUUGAGAGAAUGUUUUCUAAGUUUUUGACAUAAAGUGAAAUAGCAUGAAAAGCAAGAAGCAAAAUCUACAUUAAAGAUAGACCCUUGAAAGCUUCUGUCUACUUGCUUUCCACUAUUUUUUUUUGGGCAAUUAUUUAUAUACCCAUAAAAAGUUUUCGAUUUUUCGAUUUAUAAGAGAAGAUUAAUAUUGAAAAUACUCUUUGUACGUUCCAACAUAUUUCUAAUAUGCCUCUAGAGUUAAAAUCUGUUAAUUAACUCUAUUAUUUCUGUAAAAUUACUAUUUUGCCCUUUCAAAUAUACCCUUCCACCAUCAUUGACUUUUCUAUUUGCCAUUCAAGUAAGGGGCACAAAAAGUAUUUUAACUUUUGAUCUUUUCCAAUAUACCUCUUUACCGUCACCAAUAUUUCUUAUUUGCCUUUAAGUUAAGGACAAAAUUGGCAUUUUAAUUUAUUUUAACUGUUGUAGAUACUUAGGGCGUGUUUGGUUCGAAGUUGGACUUGAAAUCGGAAUCGGAAUCGGAAUCAAAAUAAGCUGGAAUCGGAAUCGGAAUGACUCAUUACCUAAUUCUUUUUGGUUCAUCACCUGAAUUGGAAUCGGAAUAAAUCAUUCUCAUUAUUGGUGUUUGGUUCAGUUCGAUAUAAAAAACGUAAUCAAAUUAAUAUAUUAACAUUAUCUUUAUAAUAUAUUAAUUUAAAUUCAAGUUAAAAAUUAAAUAUUAAAAAUUUAUAUCAAAAUUUUGAAAUAAUGCCAAAAUUUUAAAUCUAUUUUUUUUAAAAAAAAAUAAACUUUGAAGUUGAGUGGAUAAUUCAAAUUAUGAAACUAAAUUUUGAUUUAUUCAAAUUCAAACUAAAAUUACAAUUUAAAUUUUAAUUUAAUCCAUAAAUUUAAUUUAAGUUUGAAAUAAAAUUUGAAUAAAACUUUAUAUAAAUUAAAAUUUAAUUUAAAUUCAAAUUCAUAAGUUAGAUUCAAAAUACUUGAUUAAAUUUUAAUUUUUAAUUUAAGUUCAAAUUAAAAUUUAAAAUUAUAUAUUUAAUUUUUAAAUUUUAACUCAUAUUUUAAUUUAAAAAGUUGAAAAAAUAAAUUUAAUCAGAAUAAAUAUCUAUUCCGUCCGGAAUCAACUUUCAAUCCGGCCUCCUAGGCCGGAUUGAAAAAUGAGGUGAUUGGGGGAUUCCCAUUCCACUCGGGAAUCGGAAUCGGAAUGGGACUCCCGCGUACCAAACACUUACAAACGGAUUCACCUAUUCCGAUUCCGAUUCUAGGGUGAAAAAGAAGCGAACCAAACACGCUCUUAAUUCACGUUUAACCCAAUUUAACUUAAGAGGAGAUAACUGCGGGGAUAUUUUGCAAUAAUGGUGGAACAUAUGAGGGUAUUUUAGAAAGAAGAAAAAAAAGGAAUAAAUCGGAUAUUUUCAAACGUACGAGGGGUAUAUAGGCAAUUAUCCCUUUUUUUUUUCUUGUCAAAGUAAAUUAAAUAUAUGCUCUACUGCUUUCGAUUGAUACUUUUUAACAGAGUUGAUAGUUUAUAUCUAAAAUUAUAAAUUUAUUAUUUGAAAUGUAAAGUUCAAGAAAAUAAAAAUUGUUUACCGCCUGUCUUUGAAAAAGGAAAUUAUACAAUGUAGAAUUUUUUUUUAAACAAUAAUAUAUUAUAAAAUAAUAUAACUAAGUAAAAUUAAAAAGGUAAAAAUGUAUGAAAUUUAUCUCAACUAUGGACCAUUUGGAUUUGGCCACGCAAUCUUUCAAAAUUUUGAAUUUGCUAUAUAAUCUUUCAAUUUGUUCAAUUCGAAUUAGUCAAUAGCACUUUAACUUAAGAAUUUGAAUACAUUGUUUAUCUUUACAGAUUUUAAUUAAUGCAUUCUUAUGUAAUUCUCACAACUAUAAGUUCAUUAAAGCAAGCAAUUAGCUUAAUUUUUGGAGUUAAAGCAUUGUUGACUGACUUAAAUCGAACAAAUAAAAAAUUAGGUACUAUAAUUAAAAUAUUGAAAGAUUAGAUAGUUAAUCUAACUGUUCUAUAGUUCAGAUAAGUUCUAUAAAUUUUUACCAAUAUAAAAGAAAGGGAAAGGA
Molecule: long non-coding RNA, 2595 nt
Filed under: Ananas comosus (pineapple)
Lineage: Eukaryota; Viridiplantae; Streptophyta; Magnoliopsida; Poales; Bromeliaceae
Description: long non-coding RNA (ACOM_LNC031114)
Source: RNAcentral